CAACGGCCUUUCUAUUUGGACCUCCAAACACAUACUAAAAAUAUUGGCUUCACCAGCUCCCAGUUCAUUUAUCUAAUUAUAUUUUUACAAUAUCUCAGACAAUAUUAGUAACCCAAAUGACAUAGUACUAUAGUCAACUAUUUUAAAUACUAAACUCUUAUAGAACCUUAUAGUUUGACAAAUAAUCAAGCCAUAAUAACUAGAGCUCCUAAUUACAAAAUAAUGAAAAUGAGUCUCGUUUAGUUAUCUAAUAUGUAAUUGGUAUCCGGCCUAUCGUACCUAUGUCUCAACUGAAAAAAAAAAAUCUCCCAAUACAAAUGUGUACACUUAUUCAUAUCUAUUCUUAUAAUUGUUCCAAUAAUUAGCAACCUAGCAGUAAUUGUUCUGCCACGGC
RNAcentral lists this long non-coding RNA (394 nucleotides) under Sorghum bicolor (sorghum). RNAcentral's name for it is "long non-coding RNA (SBIC_LNC002578)". The record is from RNAcentral. Lineage: Eukaryota; Viridiplantae; Streptophyta; Magnoliopsida; Poales; Poaceae.